GGCAACCCUGAAGCAGCGACGCCGCGUGGAUGAUGAAGGCCCUUGGGUCGUAAAAUCCUGUCAGUUUGGAAGAAAUGCAUAUUGGCUAAUACCUAUUAUGUUUGACGGUACCAGCAAAGGAAGCACCGGCUAACUCCGUGCCAGCAGCCGCGGUAAUACGGAGGGUGCAAGCGUUGUUUGGAAUUACUGGGCGUAAAGCGCGCGUAGGUGGUCUAUUAAGUCAGAUGUGAAAGUCCCUGGCUCAACUGGGGAAGUGCAUAUGAAACUGGUAGACUUGAGUACUGGAGGGGGAAGUGGAAUUCCCGGUGUAGAGGUGAAAUUAGUAGAUAUCGGGAGGAAUACCGGUGGUGAAGGCGACUUCCUGGCCAGAUACUGACACUGAGGUGGGAAAGCGUGGGUAGGAAACAGGAUUAGAUACCCUGGUAGUCC
RNAcentral lists this ribosomal RNA (429 nucleotides) under uncultured bacterium. RNAcentral describes it as "bacterial SSU rRNA". It matches the Rfam family "Bacterial small subunit ribosomal RNA", at positions 376 to 796 of the family's 1533-position model. The record is from RNAcentral.